This 221-nucleotide unclassified non-coding RNA is filed under the name soil metagenome. RNAcentral describes it as "partial contains 5.8S ribosomal RNA, internal transcribed spacer 2, and large subunit ribosomal RNA". The record is from RNAcentral.
AACUGAUACUACCUGCGGGAACCUGCGGAAGGAUCAUUAAAGAGAAAACUGCCCUUUGGGUAGAUCUCCCACCCUUUGUUUACCUUACCUUUGUUGCUUUGGCAGGCCCGUCUUCUGACCACCGGCUUUAGCUGGUCCGUGCCUGCCAGAGGACCCCAAACUCUUAAUUUUAAGUUGUCCGAGUCUUAUAAAAUAGUAAAAACUUUCAGCAAUGGAUCUCU